Molecule: ribosomal RNA, 819 nt
Filed under: Triticum aestivum (bread wheat)
Lineage: Eukaryota; Viridiplantae; Streptophyta; Magnoliopsida; Poales; Poaceae
Description: partial small subunit ribosomal RNA
Source: RNAcentral
AUGGCCUCCUCCGCCUCCUCUGCGGCUCUCUCCGCCCUCCCUUUUCCCACCUGCUUCUCCUCCGACGACGACUCCGACGACUCUGACGACGCCAAGCCCAUCCCGCCUCCACCCGUAUCGGCAGAGACCUGCCCUCCUCCUCCUCCGCAGCAUCAGCAGAAGCUGCGGCGAUGGCAGCUGGAGCGCGAGUGCAACAUGGCCAUGAAUGCCCUGGCGCGCGCGGGCGACGUCGACCAGGUGCUCGCCAUCUUCGCAGAGCUCUGGGCUUUCGGAACUGGCCCGGGUGGUGCCUCGCCGCCCAACGUGCUCUGCUACAACACGCUCAUCAACGCGCUGGCCGAAGCUGGUCACGUGGAGGAGGCCCACCUUGUGUUCGACGAAAUGCUUGCAGCAGGGGUGGCGCCCAACGUGUCGUCCCUCAACAUCCUUGUCAAGAUGUAUUCGUGCAAACCUAUGCAGUUUGACCUCGCGUUCAAUGAGAUCGUCCGGAUGCGAGAGCUUGGGGUGGAAGCCGACGCGGGCACGUACUCCACGCUCGUCACGGGGCUGUGCCGCGCGGGGAUGGUCGAGGAGGCGUUGGGCGUGCUCGAAUGGAUGCGCGAAGAGGGGUGCCCUCCCAUGGUGCAAACCUACACGCCCAUUGUACAACAAUAUUGCCGCAAGGGCCUCGUCGAGGAGGCCAAGAAGCUGAUGGACAGGAUGGAAGGCGGCGGUUGCCCUCCAAACAUAGUUACCUACAAUGUUCUGAUCAGGGCUUUGUGUGAUGCCACCGAAUUUGAGGAGGUCAGGCAAGUUUUGAUGGAGAGUAGAACCGAAGGU